AAAAUAUUUAUUUCAACAUUUUUCACGUAGAAAAUUAUACCAAUCAAACACAGUAAUUUACAAUUUCCAGGAAAACAAUUCCUAGGCAAUUCAAUUUCCUAGAAUUCGUUUUCUAGGCAGUUCAAUUCUAUCUUUGCAAUCAAAUGGACCUUAAUUUGAAUUCGGCCAUUUUUCAUGCUUUCCAUUUAAUGUCCCUUCCAAAUUCAGGCAUUGUUUUCUUCUAUGGCAGAAAACAUACUUUGAAUCAUCUUUUGCAUAUCUUGGUCAAGACAUCUCUUUUAAUGGCAUCGAUGCAUUACGGUUUGUUUUUAGUACAAGGUAUUUCCGAUUUUUCCUUCGGAUUUUAUAUACAAUUUACAAGAUGAUGUCAAAAAAUUUAUGUAUAUCAUGCCAUUGGCUACAGCAAAGAGAAUAUAUUCACCAUUUUUCAGAUGUUCUUGUUAAUAUUUAAUUUUAAUCAUGCUAAGAAUCAAGAAUCACUUUUUUGUUUGAAAAAAAUCCUAAAAUAAACAGCAAAUAACCGAUUUCUCUUUUUUGUUCAUGAUA
RNAcentral lists this long non-coding RNA (546 nucleotides) under Olea europaea subsp. europaea. Lineage: Eukaryota; Viridiplantae; Streptophyta; Magnoliopsida; Lamiales; Oleaceae. The record is from RNAcentral.